GACUGCCUCCUCUCCGAAUACACCACUCUGCUCCCCAACGGCAAAUCAAAGGGCUGAUACAUUUUCCUGUUUACACGGACAGGCGCUCUGGAGCCGUCCGAGUUGGAGACCUUCAAGAAGCAGGCAGAAUGUCUCAAUUUCCUGCCGGAGUACAUCUUUGGAGGCACAAAUCUGUGUCCCGAUGAAAGAGAAACUGCUUCACCCGCUGCAGAGGACACACAGACUGA
Molecule: long non-coding RNA, 227 nt
Organism: Mugil cephalus (flathead mullet)
Lineage: Eukaryota; Metazoa; Chordata; Actinopteri; Mugiliformes; Mugilidae
Exons: 3
Source: RefSeq, a predicted model, not a curated record